Molecule: ribosomal RNA, 272 nt
Filed under: uncultured Staphylococcus sp.
Lineage: Bacteria; Bacillati; Bacillota; Bacilli; Caryophanales; Staphylococcaceae
Description: partial 16S ribosomal RNA
Rfam family: Bacterial small subunit ribosomal RNA
Source: RNAcentral
CGUUAGCGGCGGACGGGUGAGUAACACGUGGGUAACCUACCUAUAAGACUGGGAUAACUUCGGGAAACCGGAGCUAAUACCGGAUAAUAUUUCGAACCGCAUGGUUCGAUAGUGAAAGAUGGUUUUGCUAUCACUUAUAGAUGGACCCGCGCCGUAUUAGCUAGUUGGUAAGGUAACGGCUUACCAAGGCGACGAUACGUAGCCGACCUGAGAGGGUGAUCGGCCACACUGAAACUGAGACACGGUCCAGACUCCUACGGGAGGCAGCAGAU